UCAUAUUGGAUCCAGGGAUCAGCAUAAAUAGCUCAUAUGAGACAUACCAGAGAGGGAUGCAAGCGGACGUUUUCAUCAAACACAAUGGUGUCCCUUAUCGUUGCGAAGGUUUCCCUGGAAAAGUAUACUUUCCUGAUUUCAUAAAUCCCCGAGGCAGAGUCUUCUGGAGUAACGAAAUCAAGAUUUUCCAUGACCUUCUCCCUGUUGAUGGGCUCUGGCUUGACUUGAACGAGAUAACUAACUUCAUCUCUUCGCCUCCAACCCCAUUUUCUGCCCUUGACAACCCUCCUUAUAAGAUCAAUAACAAUGGAAGCUUACGUUCAAUUAACCAGAUUACUGUCCCAGCAACAUCAGUACAUUUUGGAAAUGCCUUAGAGUACAAUGUUCAUAACCUCUACGGAUUUCUGGAAGCUAAAACGACCAAUACUGCUUUAAUCGCUAUUACUGGUAAAAGGCCAUUUAUACUUAGCAAAUCUACCUUUGUGGGUUCUGGGCAAGUACACAGCACAUUGGACGGGAGAUAAUGCAGCCACUUGGGAUGACUUGGCUUAUAGUAUUCCCAGCAUUUUGAGGUCUGGAUUGUUUGGGAUUCCCAUGGUUGGAGCUGAUAUAUGUGGCUUUUUUGAAAAUACUACUCAAGAAUUAUGUCGCCGUUGGAUUCAGCUAGGUGAAUUUUAUCCCUUUGCAAGGGAUCACACUAUGAAGUUCAGUAUCCAUCAAGAACUUUAUAUCUGGGAUUCAGUAGCUGCAACUGCCAAGAAAGUGCUACCGGUUCUUACCAUACUUCUGCACAUUAAUGUUCGAGGCACAUACCAAAGGCAUCCCUAUAGCGCGGCCUCUUUUCUUCUCAUUCCCCGAGGACACAAACACUUACUCCAUCAACUCUCAGUUUCUCGUCGGUAAGGGGCUAAUGAUAUCACCAGUACUGACAGCUGGUGCGGUUUCAGUUGAUGCAUAUUUUCCAUCCGGUACCUGGUUCAACAUGUUCAACUAUUCAAAAUAUGUGAACAUGAAGUCCGGUAACUACAUCAGCCUAGACGCGCCUCCUGAUCAUAUCAAUGUGCACCUCCAAGAGGGAAACAUUGUGGCAAUGCAAGGAGAAGCAAUGACGACAAGAGCAGCAAGGGCAACUCCAUUUGAACUACUUGUUGCCAUCAACAACUGGGGAAAUAGUUCAGAAGUUUUCUUGGACGAUGCCGAGGACGUUGAAAUAGUAAUCGCAAUACUAGUACUCAUUCUCGCGCAAUGCGCGGAUUAUUUUUUAAAACAAAAAAGCAAAGAUAGAUAGUAGAAACAUAUUUAUUUUAAUUAUUUGUGACAUAGUUGAGAUAUUAUUUUCAAUUUUUUGGAUCGUUCUUAUUGCAUACUAACAUUUAAUAUUGUAUAUAUGUUGGUAUUGUUU
Long non-coding RNA from Capsicum annuum, 1402 nucleotides. RefSeq lists it as uncharacterized. The transcript has 3 exons. Lineage: Eukaryota; Viridiplantae; Streptophyta; Magnoliopsida; Solanales; Solanaceae. The record is from RefSeq and is a predicted model, not a curated record.